UUCUUUAUACAUGUUGAUAAUAACCUCUUAUUUGAUAUGGUAUUUGCAAAUAUUUUCUCCCAUUCAGUAAGUUGGCUUUUUGUUUUGUUGAUGAUUUUCUUUGCUGUGCAGAAGGUUUUUAUUUUGAUGUAGUCCUGAUAGUUUAUUUUUGUUUUUGUUUUCCUUGUCUCAGGAGAUCUGUCUAGAAAAAUGUUGCCAUAGCUGAUGCCAGAGAAAUUACUGCCUGUACUCUCUUCUAGGAUUUUUAUGGUUUUAUGUCUCACAUUUAGGUCCUUAAUCCAUUUUGAAUUUAUUUUGGGGCAUGGUGUAAGAAAGUGGUUCAGUUUCAAUUUUUUUGCAUGUGGCUGUUCAGUUUUCCCAUCACUAUUUUUUGUAGACACUUCUUACUAUUGUAUAUUCUUGCCUACUUCACCAAAGAUUAAUUGACCAUAUAAUUGCGCCCCUGUUUCUAGUUUUAUUCUGUUUUUUUCAAGAUUGCUUUGGCUAUCAGGGUCUUUUGUGGUUCCAUACAAAGUUUAGUAUUAUUUGUUCUAAUUUUGUGAAAAAAUGCUGCUGUAUUUUGAUAGGAAUUGCAUUACAUUUGCAGUUUGCUUUGAGUAGUAUCGAAUUUUAAUAUUUGUUCUUAUAAUCCAUGAGCAUGGAAUGUCUUUCCAUUUAUUUGUAUCAUGUUCAAUUUCUUUCAUCAAUGUUUUAUAAUUUUCAAAAUACAGGUCUUUCAUAUCUUCAAUUAGGUUUAUUCCUAGGUAUUUUAUUGUGUUUGGUACAAUUAUAAAUGAGAUGGCUUUCUUUAUUUCUUUUUUUGCUACUUCAUUAUUAGUGUAUAGAAAUGUAACAUAUUUCUGUAUAUUGAUUUGUAUCCUGAGACUUUAUUGAAUUCAUUUAUGAGUUCUAGUAAUUUUUUGGUGGAGGCUUUAGGAUUUUUCUAUAUAUAGUAUCAGGACAUCUGCAAAUAAUGAAAGUUUUACUUCUUCCUCACCAGUUUGGAUGCCUUUUAUUUCUAUUUUGUAUCUGGUGGUUGUGGCUAGGACUUCCAGUAUUGUUUUGAAUAAAAGUGGUGAGAGUGGACAUCCUUGUCUUGUUCUUGACCUUAGGGGAAAAGCUCUCAGGUUCUCACCAUUGACUAUGAUGUUAGCCAUAGUUUUUUCAUAUAUGGCCUCUAUUGUGUUGAGAUAUGUUCCCUCUAAACCUACUUUGUUGAGUUUUGUUGUUUUUUUUUAAAUCAUGAAUGGAUGUUGUACUUUGUCAAAUGUUGUUUCUGCAUUUAUUGAAAUGAUAUGUGGUUUUUAUCUUUUCUCUUGUUGAUGGGAUGUAUUAUGAUGAUUGAUUUGUGAAUACUGAACCACCCUUGCAUACCAGGAGUAAAUCCCACUUGAUCUUGGUGAAUGAUUUUUUUUUAAUGUAUUGCUAGAUUUAAUUUGCUAAUAUUUUAUUGAGGAUUUUUACAUCUUUGUGUAUUAGAGAUACUGGCCUGUACACACACACUCUCUCUCUCUCUCUCUCUCUCUCUCUCUCUCUUUGUAUUGUCUUUAUCAGGUUUUGGUAUCAGGGUAGUGCUGGCUUUAUACAAUGAAUUUGGAAGCCUCCUUUUUAAUUUUUUGGAAUAGUUUGAGAAUAAGUAUUAACUUUUCUUUAAUGUUUGGUAGAAUUCGUCUGUGAAGCCAUCUGGUCUUGGACUUUUUGUUUGUUGGAAGGUUUUUGAUUACUGAUUCAAUUUCAUUGCUGAUUAUCAGUCUAUUCAAGUUUUCUAUUUCUUUCAGAUUCAGUUUUUGGGACGUUGUAUUUUUCUAAGAAUUUAUCCAUUUCCUCUAGGUUGUCCAAUUUGUUGGCAUAUACUUUUUCAUAAUAUUCUCUUAUAAUCCUCUGUAUUUUCAUAGUGUUAGUUGUUAUUUCUUCUCUUUCAUUUCUGAUUUUAUUUCUAUAAGCCCCCUUUCUCUUUUUUGAUGAGUGUGGCUAAUGGUUUAUCAAUUCUAUUGAUCUUUACAAAGAAACAGCUUCUAGUUUUAUUAAUAUGUUUUUUUUUAGUUUCUAUUUUGUUUAUUCUGCUCUAAUAUUUAUUAUUUCCUUCCUUCUACUGGCUUUGGGUUUUGUUCGUUUUGCUUUUUUUUUUUUUUUUUUUUAGCUUCUUUAGGUAUAAGGUUAGGUUGUUUAUUUGAGAGUUUUCUUGCUUCUUGAGUAAGCUUGUAAUACUAUAAACUUCCCUCUUGAACAGUUUUUGCUACAUCCCUAAAGUUUUGGACUAUUGUGUUUUUGUUUUCAUUUCUCUCCAUGUAUUUUUUAAUUUCCUCUUUGAUUUCUUGCUUGACCCAUUUAUUAUUUAGUAGCAUGUUAUUUAACUUCCAGGUAUUUGUAUUCUUUCAGAUUUUUUCUUGUGGUUGAUUUCUAGUUUCAUAGUUGUGGUCAGAAAAGAUGGAUGGUGUGACUUCAAUCUUUUUGAAUUUGUUGAGACCUGUUUUGUUGUUUAAGGUGAUCUAUACUGGAGAAUGUUCCAUAUGCACUUGAAAAGAGUGUGUAUUCUGCUGUUUUAAGAUGGAAUGAUCUGAAUAUAUAUGUUAGAUCCAUUUGGUCCAAUGUGUCAUUCUAAGCCAUUGUUUGCUCAUUGAUUUUCUGUUUGGAUGAUAUAUCUAUUGAUGUAAGUGGGGGUUAAAAUCCCAUACUGUUAUUGUAUUACUAUUGAUUACUUCUUUUAUGUUUGAAAUUAGCUACUUCAUGUAUUUGGUUGCUUUAAUGUUGGGUACAUAAAUAUUUACAAUUGUUUUACUUUCUUGUUGGAUUAUUCCCUUUAUGAUUAUGUAGUUUCCUUCUUUGUCUUUCGUUAUAGUCUUUUCUCCAAUAUAAGUAUUGCUACCCUGACUUCCUUUUACUUCCGUGUGCAUGACAAAUUCUUUUCCAUCCCUUCACUUUCAAUCUUCAUGUGCCUUUAGGUCUGAAAUGAGUCUCUUGUAGGCAGCAUAUAGAUGGGGUCUUACUUUUUACCCAUUCUGUCACCUUAUGUUUUUUUGAUUGGAGUGUUUAGUUCAUUUACAUGUAAAGUGAUUACUGAUAGGUGUACUUAUUGCCAUUUUUUACCUUUUUUAUGACUGUUUUUGUAGUUCUUUCUUUUCCAUUCUUCUCUUGUUCUUUUCUCUCAUGGUUUGCUGGAUUUCUUUAGUGAUAUACUGGUAUUCCUUUCUUUUUAUUUUUUCAUAGCUAUUACUGGUUUUUGAUUUGUGGUUACCAUUAGGUUUGUAUAUAACAUCUUCUGCAUAUAACAGUCUAUAUUAAGUUGAUGGUCACUUAAGUUUGAACCCAUUCUUUACUGCUCCUUCUCCUUCCACGUUUUAGGAAUUGGUGUCAUAUUUGACAUCUUUUCAUUUUGUAAAUCCUUCGACUGAAUUUUAUAAAUAUACUUAUUUUUCUACUUUUGUGUUUUUACUUUUGUUUCUCUUACUUAUGGUCUUUGUUUCUUUACUUAUGGGAUUUAACAUUCUUUGUAGGGCUGGUUUAGUGGUUAUGAAUUCCUGUAGCUUUUUUUUUCUUUGUUGUUGUUUUUCAGAGAAACUCUUUAUUUGUCCUUCUAUUUUAAUGAUAGCUUUGCUGGAUAGAGAAUUUUUGGCUGUAGGUUUUAUUCUUUCAGCACUUUGAAUAUAUCAUGCCACUCCCUUCUGGCCUGCAAAGCUUCUGCUGAAAACUCAGCUGAUAAACCAGUGGGGUUUCCCUUGUAUAUAACUGCUUUCUUUUCUCUUGCUGCUUUUAAAAUUCUCUCUUUAUUAUUAUGUUUUGCCAUUUUAAUUACUUUAUGUCUUGGAGUAGAUCUCCUUGGGUUGAUCUUGUUUGGAGGUCUCUGUUCCUCUUGGUCUGGAUUUCUGUUUCCUCUCCCAGAUUUGGGAAGUAUUUGGCUAUUAUUUCUUCAAAUAAAUUUUAAGGCCCCUUUUCUCUUUCUUCUGAGAUUCCUAUAAUGUGAAUAUUAUUAUGUUUGAUGGUGUUGCUGAGUUCCCUUAGUCUAUUUUCAUUUUUUUUUUCUCUUCCCUGUUCAGCUUGAUUACUUUCCAUUACUCUGUUCUCAAGGUCACUGAUCCAUUCUUCACUUUUUCUGGUGUACUAUUUAUUCCAUGUAGUGUAUUUUUAAUUUCAGUUAUUGAGUUAUUUGUCUCUGAUUGGUUAUUUUUUAUAUUUCUAUCUCCUUGUUCAGAGUCUCACUGAGGUCCUCCACUUUUCUCCAGUCCAGUGAGUAUCUUUAUGACCAUUAUUUUAAGUUCUCUGUUAAGCAUAUUACGUAUCUCCAUUUGGGCCUCUUGUGGUGAUUUUGUCCUGCUCUUUCAUUUUGGGAUAUUUUCUUCUGCACUCUAAUUUUGUCUAACUCUGUAUCUAUUUCUUUGUGUUGAGAAAGUCAGCGAUGUCUUCUGCUCUUAAAAGCAGUAUUCUCAUGAACAGGAGGUCCUAUAGUGACCCGCAGGGCAAUGUCUUUGUUCAUUAGAACCUGGUGCUUCAGGAGUGUGUCUUUUGUGUGUUGCAUGCAUCUUUCUGUUGUGGUUGUGCUGCUUUUGCCUUCAGUAUAGUUGUCUUCAAUGGCUCUAUUUACCUAUUUGGUCCCUGUGGUGUUAGUGAGCCAGUCUGAGGACAUGUGGGCUUGAAUUGGGUCAGAGUAGGCAUUUGCCAGAGAUGCAAUAGCACCAAACUUCAGGGUGCUUUUUCUGUUCUGUACCCUGAGAAGCUUUCAUUGGUUGGUACAUCCUGCAGUCAAAGCAGAUGUGUGCCCCAGCCCACCACUGCAGCUGCAAUCAGACUGGUGUGUGUAGUUAUCUUCCCUUCUCUCUAGGCAGGGUUCACUUUGGAGUGGUGCUGGCCUUUGUUGUGCUGUUUGCACACUGCCAGACUUAGUGACACUUCUUUGGAUGGGCUCAGGCCAAGAGCAUAUUGGAAGGGGCAGGACUACAGGAAAAAGUGGUAGCAGAGAGGGUGGUAUUAGCAAAUUUUGUGCUGGUCCAAUGGGAGGGAGACCUGGAGCCCCAACCUAGCUGGAGAGGAUGUAUUUGCAGUAGAACACUGGUGCAAGGCAUGUUAGCACGUUAGAUAGCGAGUGUUGGCCCCAUGCUAGUUCCCACGGGUGUUUGUGUGUCUAAGUUUGGGGCCAGGUGAGGGGAAUGGAGUUUGCCAUCUCCUUUGUUCCUGGAGAAUCUUCCAAAGAUCCCUGCCCCUGCAGCACAUGCUCUGAGAUUAUUAAACAAAUCUCCCAUUAUAUACCCCAGGCUGUUUUCAAACUGCUGCUUCUGUGUUGUAGGUCUGUGGGACUGUUUUUUGUGUUGUCUCUUUAAGGCUGGGGACUCAGUUCCCCCUCACCUUCCUAGCUUUCCCAGAGCUAAGCCUGCUAAUUUUUAAAGUUCCCAGUUUUGGCAUACCUGGGUAUCUCAGUUGGUUGAGUGUCUGGCUCUUGGUUUUGGCUCAGGUCAUAUCACAGCUUCGUGGGUUUGAGCCUGUGUCAGGCUCUGUGCUGAUGGGGUGGAGCUUGCUUGGGAUUCUCUCUCUCCUUCUCUAGCUGUCCUCACUCAUGCUAUCUCUGUCGCUCUCAAAAUAAAUAAGUAAACUUAAAAAAAUAAAAAAAAAUGUUAAAAACUUAAAGAAAAACCCUUAAAAAAAUAAAGUUCCCAGUUUUAAGUCCUGUUGAUUGUAAUAACUUGUGAAAUUUGGCCUCUCUAGUUUGCAAAGCCAAACAUUAUGGGGAUUGCCCAUACAGGCUUCCUGUUGUGAGGGUCUGUUUCUUUCCCGUCUCUGAGAUGGUGGUGUCCCUCCUUCCCACACAGUCCCAUAGGUCAUUUAGCUCCCUACUGUGUCUCUGCUCUUCUCUACAUUUGGCUUCUUCUCUACACUGAGCUCUGGAUAAUCUGUUCUUCCAGGCUUUUUGUUGUUUUGUGGGUUAUUUAUACUAAUGCGGGUGUUAUCUAGUUGUAUCCAUGGGACUAGGUGAGUUUAGGGUCCUUUUACUUUGUCAUCUCUCCCAGAAGUCACAAAUUCAUAUUUCUUAUUGUUUAAUUUAUAAGAAUGAUGACUUAAGGUACCCUUUCUAUUGAGUUCCUUUUAUUUUUAACUGCAAUUCUUUUGACUUUGCUUGCUGGUCUUUGAAAUCAUGGAUAAUUUAAGAGGAAUUAAGAAAUCUUUAAUCCCUGAAGUAGUGACAAUGCUACUUGUAUCCAGUUUUCAUCUUUUGCAGAUCUGGCUAAACUCCAGAUUAUUGGAGUAAGAACCAUCCAACCACGUUCAUAUAAGUAUAGCACCUUUAGGUUUGGAUAUAGGGGAUAAUAAGUUGUUAGUUUAAAUAUAAGGAUAACCAUUUCUAGAAUAUAGCAGGUCACUUCCUGGAAUAUUCUUCCUGUUGGAAACAAAAGGCAUCCUCAAAAGUGUGAAGAGAGUUUAAGGAAAGCACCGUUUACUUUUGUGAACACAGUUAAGUGAAAUUAACAAGGAUGGUGAAGGACCCUGGGGCUAGCAACAUCAGGAAGCUAUUACUCCCUCCCCCUCCACCCAUGCCUGAAAGAAAGGAGGAGGCAGUGCCUAUCAGAACUGAGGGAGAGAAAAGCCUGACAAGAGCUGUGGCCUAUAGAAGACGAAAAAGCCAUUGCUGAUGUUUUUCUUCCUGCCCCCUUACCUUCAGUGUCUUCUAUCAACUAAACCCAAACAGAAGCCACAAAAAUUGGAGAUUUCCAGAGCAAAAAAGGAGGGUAAAGCAAGAUAGAGGCAGAAGCUGGUGUGACAGAAUAACCAUCAUAGACUACCUCUGUUGUUUCUUAACAUCCAUUCCUAAUGCUUUGCAUGAAAAUCUUGUGUCCCUAUGCAAGAGAGGAGUGGUGUUAAUUCAGUCACCCUUUCCCUCAGAAAUAUAAAUCAUUAACCAUCACCAGUGUACUUCAUAUAAAGUAGCACAGUCCCCUUACUAUCCGUCAGCACCUUGACUGAGGCUUUUACCUUCUGAGUGACACAACUCCCAGAGUAUGAAUUCUUACUGGUUUUAUAUUUAUUAGACUGUUUUCUAUUAGCCAGGGUACUGGGUAAGGGAGUAGUAAAAGGUGUCCACUGAAUCCCUAAAUUCCAGCCAUAGUCUUCCUUGACCUAAUUAUGAAGCAGAAAACCAAUUUCUCCUUGUUAACUGAUAUCUAUGAGCCAGUUAAUAGGAUGAUGUAUUUUUCUUCCAUUUGUUUUAAUGA
Molecule: long non-coding RNA, 7175 nt
Organism: Acinonyx jubatus (cheetah)
Lineage: Eukaryota; Metazoa; Chordata; Mammalia; Carnivora; Felidae
Exons: 2
Source: RefSeq, a predicted model, not a curated record